This 944-nucleotide long non-coding RNA is filed under the name Sorghum bicolor (sorghum). RNAcentral describes it as "long non-coding RNA (SBIC_LNC011926)". Lineage: Eukaryota; Viridiplantae; Streptophyta; Magnoliopsida; Poales; Poaceae. The record is from RNAcentral.
UUAAGCCUAGUUACUCUAUGAUUGGACAAUGUUUAUCAAAUAAAAACGAAAGUUCUACGGUGUCGUUUUCCUAAAUUUUUUUGAACUAAACAAGGCCUAAGAUCUGUUCCAAAACCAAGUCAGGCAAAACUUUUUUUUGAUGAAAACCAACUUUAUUAUCAACAGCAAGAGGAUGUAAGGAGGGCUACAGAGUGCAGAUUUAUAGGGAGAAGUGCUUCUCUAAGAGAGCACUGAACAUGAGCUGCAUAAGAACAGGUACGGGUGAAAAUAGUAGAGGAAUGCAGCUGGGUAAAACUUUGUCUGGCUAGAGUAUCAGCAGUACAAUUUUGGUCCCUUUUGAUCCUAUGAACUCUAUGUGUAGCCGAGAGGUUGAUGAAGGUUUGGGUGUAAUAUUUGAUUCUCCAGUCGGGUGGGUCAUCUAGAUUGGGAUUAUUCAGGAAGUUCACCAGCUGUUGGAAGGAAUGAAACCUGCUGAAGAUCAAGAUGCUUAGUCACUGUUGGUGCAAGGGCAAGCGCUGCUGCUUCAGCCAUCAGCACUGAAGACGUUCCUUUCAUAGCCGCUUUGAUGUAGAUGGUUUGCACCAGGUGUACCUGAUUAUUGACAAUAAAAAUACCAAUACCUGCAUUUCUAGAUAAGUUAGAAGGAAGAUGGAAUGUAGAUGCAUCAGUGUAACAUCUAAUUUCAUUCCUGUCAGAGAAGCAGGCAGGUUAGGCUUCAAAGGCUGAACCUUCAAAGGACAUCAAGCUUGCCCAAGCAUUACCGGAUGCAAAAAAUAAAAAUAAAAAACUUUCCAAACUAAUAUUUAUCUAAUUUGAAUAUAUAGUUACUUGACUCUGAUAUAUGUAAUUAUGCACAGAUAUGUGAACAAAUCAUAUUACAGUAUUCUCAAUAAGAUCUGACUGUUGGAAACAAAAUGACUUCGAUUCUCUCUUUCAAUAACACA